ACAGCUCCUGGUCGGAUCUGCAGAGACAGGACAGAGGAGUAAUAACAGGAGGGGAAAGGAAAAAGGGAAGAUGACGGGACAGAAGAAAGAAGGGAGGAGACAGAGGAGGAAGGGGAGGAGGAAAGGAAAGGUGGGGUGGGGUGGUAGCUGAGGUGGAGAUGGGCGGGUGUAGGGACCCACUCCUCCCCAACCGCCACCCACGCCCAGGACAGAGUAAUCAAGUGACGGGGUAAGCAAUUGGACACCUCGCUUUUCUCAUCACUUUUUUCAACUUCUCUUUCUCUUUCUCUCUCUUUAUCUCUCUCUCUCUCUCUCUCUCUCUCUCUCUCUCUCUCUCUCUCCCUCCCUCUCUCUUUCUCUCUGUGCCCCUCCCCUCCUUGUCCCCUCCCUAGUCAUUAACCAACCCCCUGUUGUCGGGGCGAGGCGCACUUGAAGGGGGCUAUUUUUUGCCAUGCUUCACUAAAUAAGGCCAGGCUGCGUUUGGGUGCGAGAGCCAGGCCAGGGGGGUGUCCAGAGCAGACGCCGCACCAGUCUGGGUAUAAAAGCCCCAGGCCGGUGGGGGGCUGUGCCGAUCACACCGACGUCCCGCACCCUUUCUGUGUUCGCGUCCACGUUGUUCCUUAAAAAACAACAUUUUGCAACGUUUUGUUUGGUUUUGAUUUUAAUUUUUUUUUAUAUAUCUCUGAGAGUGUAUAAUUGGCACCGACUGAUGUUGAGGUUGAGGGUUGCGGCUGUUUUUGACCUGUGGACGUAGGUUGUGGCGUUUGACCUCUGUGGCGCCGGCUCAAGUGUGUUUUGGCACUGAUAUACCUGCUUUGUGAGGACCUCUGGAGUGAGGAGUGUGUGCUGUUAAAGAGUGGAAUACAGGGACGGUGCGAAGAAGGACUGAGCAAGGGAAAGAGAUGGAGACGGGGACAGAUAGUUACUCACGGGGAACAGAAUGCUGCAUGACACUGUCUCUCUCCUCCCUUUCUUUCUUUCUUUCUUUCUUUCUUUGUACAUCUUUCGUUGCUUCUCUUUUUUCUGAUUCUCUGAGUGUUCUCACUAACACCUAAAGGUUUGUUCCUAGAUCAUUUCUGUACCUUUCCUUUCCCUCCUUUCUCUGUAUUUCUCUUUUGCUAACUCUCGCACGUUCUAACCUUAAUUUUCUCUCUUUAACUCAGUCCAUCUCCCCUCCUCCCUCUACUCCUUCUACCCCCCCCUCCUCCUCCUCCUCCUCCUCCUUUCCCUCUCUCUCUUUGGCUCUAUCAGCACACCGUUCUCACUCCUCCUUCUAUUUCAGUCCUGCUCAGCAGAGACUCAGCAGAGGAACUUUGGACAGGUGGGGAGGAGUGAGCGGGGAGGGAAGGAGGGAGGGACGCUGUGCAGGCGGGUUGACGCAUGUCCAUUCAGACAUUCUCGCCGUCUUUCUCUUCCUUUCAUCGCUGCCGCCAGAGCUUUCAUUUUAUUUUGAUGCCAAGUUCUUGUUAUUUGCCCUGCCCUCAUGUGGGCUCUCUCUUGCAAUCAAGAUUUUUUUUCUUAAGAAAGAAAAACUGAGUUCUUGCUGUCCCACUUCAACGAGAGACAAGGAAGCACCAUCAUUUCUUUCCUCUCCUCCUUUCCUCUCCCUAUUUCAGCCUCCCAUCUCUCUCUUCAUCUCCUCUCCUCUCUUUUCCUGUCCUCUCUGCAUCCUUAAACUCAAAUGCUGAAUCAGCUGAAGACGAACGAACGCUCUGCACCCCAACCCCCCUCCCAUGCCCCAUCCUCACCCCCACCCUUCCCGAUUCACGCAAACCGUCGCACCCCAUGGAGCACCAUCAGUCCAGCAUAAGCUUGGGGGAACUCUACCUGAAAGCUGCCCACUAGGUUGAAACCCCCCCCUUCCUGGGCUCAAUGCCAGCCAUGCUUCUCUCCAGACUCCAACUCCCAGCAACCCCAGACUCACUCAAAAAUGCUUUGCUAAAGCUGGUAAAAUGGAACCAAAUCAACUGUUCAAUGGAUUUGGUCCCCUUCAACCAGCUGUAGCUGCGCAUUGAUCACCCCAGAGGCACCAUCAGGCUGGAACUGGCCAACACCCAGAACUCACUGGCUCAGGAACAGUUCUGAUCCGAUGCUCUUUUGCACGGAAGGACCAGGCCGCGGACGGAACCUACUGAUUCAGGAAAUAGAUCAACGGCGGCAGCCAAGCAGAGAAAUUGUAAUCCCCCUCAAGCGAUCUAAAUAGCCCUAGUCCACAUCGACAUGACACAAUACAACAGUCACUCUCGUCAUUAACACGGUGCAGCUUUUGUCCCAGACACAGCUCUCUAUGUAACCUCUGCAGGUGAGUGUCGGCUUCAUUUCAUUAAUUGCUGCCAGUGUUCACACACACACCCCACACACACACACACACACACACACACACACACACACAGACAGACAGACAGACA
Clupea harengus (Atlantic herring) is the source of this 2408-nucleotide long non-coding RNA. RefSeq lists it as uncharacterized. The record is from RefSeq and is a predicted model, not a curated record. Lineage: Eukaryota; Metazoa; Chordata; Actinopteri; Clupeiformes; Clupeidae.